Molecule: ribosomal RNA, 497 nt
Filed under: uncultured bacterium
Lineage: Bacteria
Description: partial 16S ribosomal RNA
Rfam family: Bacterial small subunit ribosomal RNA
Source: RNAcentral
GAUGAACGCUGGCGGCGUGCCUAAUACAUGCAAGUCGAGCGAACAGACGAGGAGCUUGCUCCUCUGACGUUAGAGGCGGACGGGUGAGUAACACGUGGAUAACCUACCUAUAAGACUGGGAUAACUUCGGGAAACCGGAGCUAAUACCGGAUAAUAUAUUGAACAGCAUGGUUCAAUAGUGAAAGACGGUUUUGCUGUCACUUAUAGAUGGAUCCGCGCCGCAUUAGCUAGUUGGUAAGGUAACGGCUUACCAAGGCAACGAUGCGUAGCCGACCUGAGAGGGUGAUCGGCCACACUGGAACUGAGACACGGUCCAGACUCCUACGGGAGGCAGCAGUAGGGAAUCUUCCGCAAUGGGCGAAAGCCUGACGGAGCAACGCCGCGUGAGUGAUGAAGGUCUUCGGAUCGUAAAACUCUGUUAUUAGGGAAGAACAAAUGUGUAAGUAACUAUGCACGUCUUGACGGUACCUAAUCAGAAAGCCACGGCUAACUACGUG